UACAGAGGGUGCGAGCGUUAAUCGGAAUUACUGGGCGUAAAGCGUGCGUAGGUGGUUUGUUAAGUCAGGUGUGAAAUCCUUGGGCUCAACCUGAGAAUUGCAUUUGAAACUGGCAAACUCGAGUGUGGUAGAGGGUAGUGGAACUCCCGGUGUAGCGGUGAAAUGCGUAGAUAUCGGGAAGAACACCAGUGGCGAAGGCGGCUACCUGGACCAACACUGACACUGAGGCACGAAAGCGUGGGGAGCAAACAGG
RNAcentral lists this ribosomal RNA (253 nucleotides) under uncultured bacterium. RNAcentral's name for it is "partial 16S ribosomal RNA". It matches the Rfam family "Bacterial small subunit ribosomal RNA", at positions 524 to 776 of the family's 1533-position model. The record is from RNAcentral.